RNAcentral lists this ribosomal RNA (1088 nucleotides) under Candidatus Bathyarchaeota archaeon. RNAcentral's name for it is "partial 23S ribosomal RNA". It matches the Rfam family "Archaeal large subunit ribosomal RNA", at positions 1951 to 2987 of the family's 2987-position model. The record is from RNAcentral. Lineage: Archaea; Thermoproteati; Candidatus Bathyarchaeota.
CUGUCCAGUACAGGUACCUGAAACCUGGGUUCAACCUGGCUAAGGGCCUGCAAACGACGGGAGUAACUCUGACUCUCUUAAGGUAGCCAAAUGCCUUGUCGGGUAAGUUCCGACGCGCAUGAAUGGAACAACGAGGACCCCGCUGUCCCCGCUUGGUACCCGGUGAACCCACGUAACGUGGACGAACAGUCCACGGACUCCCAGCGGGAAAAGAAGACCCCGUGGAGCUUUACUGCAGCCUGUNNNNNNNNNACGGUUGUGAUUGCAGAGCGUAGGUGGGAGCCGUCGAUCUUAGCUUCUCCGGAGGCUAGGGGAGGUGACAAUGGAACACCACCCUUUUGCGGCUGUAUCCCUUACUGGCGCGAAUGCGCUGGGACAACGGUUGGUGGGCAGUUUGGCUGGGGCGGCACCCCCUUGAAAAAAUAUCGAGGGGGCCCAAAGGUCAGCUCAGACGGGACAGAAACCCGUCGUAGAGCGUAAAGGCAAAAGCUGGCCUGACUGGAUCCUCCGACGCAAGGGAUCCAGAGGCGAAAGCCUGGCUUAGCGAGCCGUCAUGUCCUCAUUGGUGGGGGCUGGCGGCGACAGAAAAGUUACCCCGGGGAUAACAGGCUCGUCGCGGGCGAGAGUUCCCAUCGGCCCCGCAGCUUGGUACCUCGAUGUCGGCUCUUCCCAUCCUGGCUCCGUAUAAGAAGCCAAGGGUGAGGCUGCUCGCCUAUUAAAGGGGAACGUGAGCUGGGUUUAGACCGUCGUGAGACAGGUCGGACUUUAUCUGCUGGGAGCGGUGGUCGCCUGAGGGGAAAGGGUUCCCAGUACGAGAGGAACGGGACGCUGUAGCCUCUAGUUUACCGGUUGUCCGACAGGGCACUGCCGGGCAGCCACGCUGCUGCGGAUAAGAGCUGAAAGCAUCUAAGCUCGAAGCUGCUCCCGAGAAGAGGCGGCCAUUCCCAAGGUUUGAGACUCGGUGACGGGUCUCAUCGCGGGACGAGGGUUCCCAUAGAAGAUGGGGUAUAUGGAGCCGGGGUGUACGCUGGAAGGCUUCGGCCGACCAGUUCAGCCCGCGGAUCCCAAUCACCCGAGGUGUCGGGUUG